This 71-nucleotide transfer RNA is filed under the name Camelus bactrianus (Bactrian camel). It matches the Rfam family "tRNA". Rfam says of the family: Transfer RNA (tRNA) molecules are approximately 80 nucleotides in length. RNAcentral also lists the same sequence under 2 other names. The record is from Rfam by way of RNAcentral. Lineage: Eukaryota; Metazoa; Chordata; Mammalia; Artiodactyla; Camelidae.
AAGGGCGUAGCUCAGUGGUAGAGGGUGUGCUUGGCAAGCACAAGGUCUGGGGUUCAAUCCCCGGGACUUCU